This is a long non-coding RNA of Aphis gossypii (cotton aphid), 2261 nucleotides long. RefSeq lists it as uncharacterized. The record is from RefSeq and is a predicted model, not a curated record. NCBI's taxonomy places the organism in Eukaryota, Metazoa, Arthropoda, Insecta, Hemiptera, Aphididae. The transcript has 3 exons.
UUAAAAAUUAAAAUAAUAAUAAAUUAAUAAUUAUAUAUUAUAAAGAAUAUAUUAUCACCACAGCAGAUAACAAUAUCACGUUAUAUGAUAAGAAAUGUGAUUUUCACAAAUAUUGAUAAGAAAUGUGAACGCUUCUGAUUGGUUGCGCAAUUUUGCUCCCGAGACGCUCGUGUCUUGGGACAGUCCGUUAUUUUUUCUCAUAUUUUUAAUUCAUAUAGUUCUAUUUGCUAUGGUUAUAUCCAUUUUUUUCUAUUUUAAUUUUUUUUUUUUUAUAGUUUCUGCUGUGCAGCAGUGUCAUCAACUAUUGUGCUAAACGUAUUAUUUUAUUUAUAUCGAUGACACUGUCCGCAGCAAAAAACUAUAAAAGGCUGGACGCACCAGCUCGGAUUGCCUUUUUUCUUUACCUUUCGGUAUUGUUUCGUUAUUUUGUAACUUUUUAGCAUUUAUAGCACAUAUUCUGAGUCUUCAUUUUUUUUGUUGGUAAAGUAUUGUUCCUAAAAUCAUUAUAUCUUCAACUAUUAUAUUAUACUUUUCACAGCAGGGUGGUCAUUGUCUAUAUUCCAUUUGUGGUGCUUAUCCUGUGUUAUACUCGUCAGUGGUUACCUCAAAGCGGUCGCACGUGUGCGGUUGUUAAUAUUAUUAAAUUUUGUGUAUUAUUAUUAUAAAUACGUCCCCGGCACAGCCGCGUUAAAAUCCAUCAACUAAAGUAAUCACCCGUGUUGUGACUUGUUCAAUAUGGUGUUCACGCGUGUGCAGAAAUGUCGCGGUUGUGUUCCAAACGCUCCUAAACCGAAGACUUCCACAAAAUUGGGUCCCGAGUACCAGGAGCGCAUGAACACGUUGUUGUGUUUCUGUUUCGUCGACGGCGGCGGCGGCAGCGGCUGUUGUAGAUACUCAUUCGAAGACUAUCACGAUCACAACAUAAUCAGUUACAUAAUAUAAUAUUCAGAGUUCUCCAGAAUGUUUUUUCCCAAUGACAAUACCAUAUUCUUUUAAUUUUUUUUUUUUGAAUCACUAACUAUAACAUUAACAACAACAAUAAGUACAACAACAAUUAAUACUAUUAUUGUUGCCACGAUCUGUUAUUGUUGGUGUUGCUGAUGCGGUUGUGUCGUCGCUAAGUUGUCGUUCUGAAAUGAGACUCAAUAUUUACUAGGAACCUAUGCGGCCGAAUACGUCAUCAUCGCUGUCCGAAGAGCCCGGUGUUCGGGGGCGGUACCCUCGCCGACCAAAAAUUACGGCGGCGCUAGUCGUUCCGGCUAGACUCCUGGUCGUAAAUCCAUCGGUUACCCCAAGAAAUGUUGAUCGACUUCGACAAUAUCAUUCUUAGGGGUCGAUCGACCGAUUUCAUGUACCAGGAGCGGCUAGUCGGAGGCGAUGGUGCCACUGCGAUUUUCAUGCGGCGAGCGGCAGCGCCGCCAUAAAACACCGGACUGUUCGGAUACCGAAGAUGACAUAUUCGGCCGCAUAGGUUCCUAGUAAAUUUUGAGUCUCAUUUCAGAACGACAACUUACGCGAUGACACAACUGACACAGCAACAGUAAUAUCUACAACAAAUAGUUUUAAGUCUAAGGCUGAGAUGUUAACGUCCUAAAAAUCUCAAAAAAAUACAGUAAAAAUUGUAUAAAUAUAUUAUGGUUUAUUAGCAAAUUAAAAUUGAAGUAGGUAUGUUUACACACAUAAUAAAAUUUAAAAAGACAAUUUUUUUUUUUAAAUUGCGCAUUGCCAGUAUAUUCAAUAAUUUAUAUUAUCAAAUUAUAAACAUAAUAGUCAUAUUAACACACUUUAAGAAUUAAAAAUCGGUUUUUGAUUUUUUAUAAAUUAAAAAUUAUAAUUCUUUUUAUUGAGUUAUAUUAUAUUUUUUCUAAAUUUUAAAAUAAUUCUAAUGGGUAAAAUUGUAUGUGUUAGAAAUGAUAUCUUUCAUCUUAAACUAGCAAAUUAUUAAUAAAAUAGUCAUAUUCACACUCGUAGUAAAAACUAAAAAUCAAAUUUAACUUUUUUAAAAAUUAAAUAUUAUCAUUUAAUUCAAUGAGUUAUAUUAUAUUUUUAUAUAUUUUUAAAUUCAUACAAUGUGUAUAAUUUUAUGUGUUAGAAAUAAAUUCUUAUGCCUUAAAUUAGCAAAUUGUUAACAAAAUAGUCAUAUUAACACACAUAUUAAGAACUAAGAAUUUUGAAAGCAUACCGUUAUCAAGGGGUUGGAUAUAGGCAAUAUAGAAUAAUUUUUGUGAUUAGCUGGAUGAGAGGGUGCAUAGUAUCUGUGU